GUGGCUAUGGUGUAAUGGCAACACAGCUCUCUGUGGAAGAGCCGUUGCCGGUUCGAAUCCGGCUAGCCACCCA
This 73-nucleotide transfer RNA is filed under the name Candidatus Parcubacteria bacterium. RNAcentral describes it as "tRNA-His". It matches the Rfam family "tRNA". From Rfam's summary of the family: Transfer RNA (tRNA) molecules are approximately 80 nucleotides in length. Lineage: Bacteria; Candidatus Parcubacteria. The record is from RNAcentral.